Molecule: ribosomal RNA, 250 nt
Filed under: uncultured bacterium
Lineage: Bacteria
Description: partial 16S ribosomal RNA
Rfam family: Bacterial small subunit ribosomal RNA
Source: RNAcentral
UACGUAGGGUGCGAGCGUUUAAUCGGAAUUACUGGGCGUAAAGCGUGCGCAGGCGGUUUUGUAAGCCAGAUGUGAAAUCCCCGGGCUCAACCUGGGAAUGGCAUUUGGGACUGCAAGGCUGGAGUGCGGCAGAGGAGACUGGAAUUCCUGGUGUAGCAGUGAAAUGCGUAGAUAUCAGGAGGAAUACCGAUGGCGAAGGCAGGUCUCUGGGCUGACACUGACGCUCAUGCACGAAAGCGUGGGGAGCGAA